RNAcentral lists this ribosomal RNA (508 nucleotides) under uncultured bacterium. RNAcentral describes it as "bacterial SSU rRNA". It matches the Rfam family "Bacterial small subunit ribosomal RNA", at positions 1001 to 1509 of the family's 1533-position model. The record is from RNAcentral.
CAGAGAUGCUUUAGUGCCUUCGGGAACUCUGAGACAGGUGCUGCAUGGCUGUCGUCAGCUCGUGUUGUGAAAUGUUGGUUAAGUCCCGCAACGAGCGCAACCCUUAUCCUUUGUUGCCAGCACGUAAUGGUGGGAACUCAAAGGAGACUGCCGGUGAUAAACCGGAGGAAGGUGGGGAUGACGUCAAGUCAUCAUGGCCCUUACGAGUAGGGCUACACACGUGCUACAAUGGCGCAUACAAAGAGAAGCGACCUCGCGAGAGCAAGCGGACCUCAUAAAGUGCGUCGUAGUCCGGAUUGGAGUCUGCAACUCGACUCCAUGAAGUCGGAAUCGCUAGUAAUCGUAAAUCAGAAUGUUACGGUGAAUACGUUCCCGGGCCUUGUACACACCGCCCGUCACACCAUGGGAGUGGGUUGCAAAAGAAGUAGAUAGCUUAACCUUCGGGAGGGCGUUUACCACUUUGUGAUUCAUGACUGGGGUGAAGUCGUAACAAGGUAGGCGUAGCGAG